Etheostoma spectabile (orangethroat darter) is the source of this 205-nucleotide long non-coding RNA. RefSeq lists it as uncharacterized. The transcript has 3 exons. NCBI's taxonomy places the organism in Eukaryota, Metazoa, Chordata, Actinopteri, Perciformes, Percidae. The record is from RefSeq and is a predicted model, not a curated record.
GAGACCAGCAUCUCAGACGGGGCUCUGAGUCUGUCAGGAGGUCUGAGCUCUACCGUAUCAGCACAGCAAUCAUGUAAUUAUUCUUGUAAUAGCCUAUUAUAACUUCCUUUUUAUGAUAUAAAAAUAUCACGACUCCUCCAAAUCUCAGAGAACACAGAUGGGAUGAGUUUUAUUUUGAAUGUGCACAAAUCAACUCAAGGUUUGG